GAUGAACGCUGGCGGCGUGCCUAAUACAUGCCAGUCGAGCGAACAGACGAGGAGCUUGCUCCUCUGACGUUAGCGGCGGACGGGUGAGUAACACGUGGAUAACCUACCUAUAAGACUGGGAUAACUUCGGGAAACCGGAGCUAAUACCGGAUAAUAUAUUGAACCGCAUGGUUCAAUAGUGAAAGACGGUUUUGCUGUCACUUAUAGAUGGAUCCGCGCCGCAUUAGCUAGUUGGUAAGGUAACGGCUUACCAAGGCAACGAUGCGUAGCCGACCUGAGAGGGUGAUCGGCCACACUGGAACUGAGACACGGUCCAGACUCCUACGGGAGGCAGCAGUAGGGAAUCCUCCGCAAUGGGCGAAAGCCUGACGGAGCAACGCCGCGUGAGUGAUGAAGGUCUUCGGAUCGUAAAACUCUGUUAUUAGGGAAGAACAAAUGUGUAAGUAACUAUGCACGUCUUGACGGUACCUAAUCAGAAAGCCACGGCUAACUACGUG
This 497-nucleotide ribosomal RNA is filed under the name uncultured bacterium. RNAcentral describes it as "partial 16S ribosomal RNA". It matches the Rfam family "Bacterial small subunit ribosomal RNA", at positions 28 to 507 of the family's 1533-position model. The record is from RNAcentral.